Molecule: signal recognition particle RNA, 298 nt
Filed under: Saimiri boliviensis boliviensis (Bolivian squirrel monkey)
Lineage: Eukaryota; Metazoa; Chordata; Mammalia; Primates; Cebidae
Description: Metazoan signal recognition particle RNA (ENSSBOG00000002739.1)
Rfam family: Metazoan signal recognition particle RNA
About the family: The signal recognition particle (SRP) is a universally conserved ribonucleoprotein. It is involved in the co-translational targeting of proteins to membranes.
Source: RNAcentral
UCUGGUGCAGUGGCACGUUCCUGUAGUCCCAGCUACUCGGAAGGCUGAGGUGGGAAGAUCACUUGAGCCCAGGAGUUCUGGGCUGUAGUGUGCUAUGCCGACUGGGUGUCUGCACUAAGUUCAGCAUCAAUAUAGUGAACUCCCGGGAGCGUGGGACCACCAGGUUGCCUAAGGAGGGGUGAACUGGCCCAGGUAGGAAACAGAGAAGAUCAAAACUCCCGUGUUGAUCAGUAAUGGGAUCACACCUGUGAAUAGUCACUGUACUCCAGCCUGGGCAACAUAGCAAGACCCCAUCUCU